RNAcentral lists this unclassified non-coding RNA (346 nucleotides) under soil metagenome. RNAcentral describes it as "partial contains 5.8S ribosomal RNA, internal transcribed spacer 2, and large subunit ribosomal RNA". The stretch from base 1 to 118 matches the Rfam family "5.8S ribosomal RNA", at positions 35 to 154 of the family's 154-position model. The record is from RNAcentral.
GAUGAAACGUAGCGAAAUGCGAUAAGUAAUGUGAAUUGCAGAAUUCAGUGAAUCAUCGAAUCUUUGAACGCACAUUGCGCCCGCCAGUAUUCUGGCGGGCAUGCCUGUCUGAGCGUCAUUUCAACCCUCAUGCCCCUAGGGCGUGGUGUUGGGGAUCGGCCAAAGCCCGCGAGGGACGGCCGGCCCCUAAAUCUAGUGGCGGACCCGUCGUGGCCUCCUCUGCGAAGUAGUGAUAUUCCGCAUCGGAGAGCGAUGAGCCCCUGCCGUUAAACCCCCAACUUUCCAAGGUUGACCUCAGAUCAGGUAGGAAUACCCGCUGAACUUAAGCAUAUCAAUAAGCGGAGGA